Molecule: ribosomal RNA, 2142 nt
Filed under: human gut metagenome
Description: bacterial LSU rRNA
Rfam family: Bacterial large subunit ribosomal RNA
Source: RNAcentral
CUUAGUGACCGAUAGCGCAUAGUACUGUGAAGGAAAGGUGAAAAGGACCCCGGGAGGGGAGUGAAAAAGAACCUGAAACCCUGUGUUUACAAGCUGUGGAAGCACGUUAAGGUGCGACCGCGUACUUUUUGUAGAACGGUCCGGCGAGUUGCCGGUACUGGCAAGGUUAAGAGCUUAAGGCUCGGAGCCGAAGGGAAACCAAGUCUCAAAUGGGCGUCAAGUCAGUACAGGCAGACCCGAAACCGGGUGACCUAUCCAUGUCCAGGUUGAAGCGGAAGUAAAAUUCCGUGGAGGACCGGAUCCACAUCCGUUGAAAAGGGUGGGAAUGAGGUGUGGAUAGGGGAGAAAUUCCAAUCGAACCCGGAGAUAGCUGGUUCUCCUCGAAAUAGCUUUAGGGCUAGCCUCAUAUUAGUUUAGCGGAGGUAGAGCACUGAAUUCCUAAGGGGGCGUCAAAGCUUACCAAGGGAUAUCAAACUCCGAAUGCCGCAUAAAUGAUGUAUGGGAGUCAGACUGCACGAGAUAAGUUGGGUAGUCAAAAGGGAAAGAGCCCAGACCUACAGCUAAGGUCCCAAAGUGUGUGUUAAGUGGAAAAGGAUGUGGGAUUUCAAAGACAACUAGGAUGUUGGCUCAGAAGCAGCCACACAUUCAAAGAGUGCGUAAUAGCUCACUAGUCGAGAGGUCCUGCGCCGAAAAUGUCCGGGGCUGAAACACAACACCGAAGCUUAGGAAUGUAUGUAAGUACAUUGGUAGAGGAGCAUUCUUAGUGCGGAGAAGCGGUACCGAUAAGGAGCCGUGGAGCGUUAAGAAGAGAGAAUGCCGGAAUGAGUAGCGAGAUGGAGGUGGGAAUCCUCCAGGCCGAAUAUCCAAGGUUUCCAGAGUAAAGCUGAUCUGCUCUGGGUAAGUCGGGGCCUAAGGCGAGGCUGAGAGGCGUAGUCGAUGGACAACAGGUUGAAAUUCCUGUACCAUGUAUCAUCAGAACUGUGGGGACACAGAAGGACAACACAUCCCGGGAAUGGGAAUACCGGGGCAAGCGAGGUAGGAGUACGGUUGGCAAAUCCGCCGUGCAAUCCGAAGACGUGACGCGCAGCGAACUAAAGUAGCGAAGUGUGUGAUUCCGGCUGUCAAGAAAAGCCGCUAUUGUGUGAUACAUGCCCGUACCGUAAACCGACACAGGUAGAUGAGGAGAGAAUCCUAAGGCCGGCGGGAGAAGCAUUGUUAAGGAACUCGGCAAAAUGACCCCGUAACUUCGGGAGAAGGGGUGCCACAGAGAUGUGGCCGCAGAGAAUAGGCUCAAGCAACUGUUUAGCAAAAACACAGGUCUAUGCAAAACCGUAAGGUGAGGUAUAUGGGCUGACGCCUGCCCGGUGCUGGAAGGUUAAGAGGAGAGGUUAGCGCAAGCGAAGCUUUGAAUUUAAGCCCCAGUAAACGGCGGCCGUAACUAUAACGGUCCUAAGGUAGCGAAAUUCCUUGUCGGGUAAGUUCCGACCCGCACGAAAGGCGUAAUGAUUUGAGCGCUGUCUCAACAAUGCACCCGGUGAAAUUGAAAUACCAGUGAAGAUGCUGGUUACCUGCGCCAGGACGGAAAGACCCCAUGGAGCUUUACUCCAGUUUGAUACUGGGAUUCGGUAUUGCAUGUACAGGAUAGGUGGGAGGCUUUGAAACAUGGACGCCAGUCUGUGUGGAGCCAAUGUUGGGAUACCACCCUUGCGAUAUUGGGUUUCUAACCUGCGCCCGUGACCCGGGCGGGGGACAAUGUCAGGCGGGGAGUUUGACUGGGGCGGUCGCCUCCGAAAGGGUAUCGGAGGCGCUCAAAGGUUCCCUCAGGAUGGUUGGAAACCAUCCAAAGAGUGCAAAGGCAUAAGGGAGCUUGACUGCGACACCGACGGGUGGAGCAGGUACGAAAGUAGGACUUAGUGAUCCGGUGGUAUGAAAGUGGGAUUGCCAUCGCUCAACGGAUAAAAGCUACCCUGGGGAUAACAGGCUUAUCACUCCCAAGAGUUCACAUCGACGGAGUGGUUUGGCACCUCGAUGUCGGCUCAUCGCAUCCUGGGGCUGUAGCAGGUCCCAAGGGUUGGGCUGUUCGCCCAUUAAAGCGGUACGCGAGCUGGGUUCAGAACGUCGUGAGACAGUUCGGUCCCUAUC